UCCGGUUUGGCACCGGCAGUCCUCCCAGAGUCCUCGGCAUAACCCGGUAGCACCUGUGCUGGUACCCGACUCUACGGGUCGCCGACCCUUUCGGGCGACUACUGCCAGCAUGUCAAACCCCGGUAAGGUUCUUCGCUUUGCAUCGAAUUAAGCCACGCGCUCCGCCGCUUGUGCGGGCCCCCGUCAAUUCCUUUGAGUUUUAGCCUUGCGGCCGUACUCCCCAGGCGGGGUGCUUAAUGCGUUAGCUGCGGCACGGAAGUCUUGCGACCCCCACACCUAGCACCCACCGUUUACGGCUAGGACUAC
This 306-nucleotide unclassified non-coding RNA is filed under the name uncultured bacterium. Its description in RNAcentral is "contains 16S-23S intergenic spacer region". The record is from RNAcentral.